Molecule: ribosomal RNA, 498 nt
Filed under: uncultured bacterium
Lineage: Bacteria
Description: partial 16S ribosomal RNA
Rfam family: Bacterial small subunit ribosomal RNA
Source: RNAcentral
AUUGAACGCUGGCGGCAUGCUUUACACAUGCAAGUCGAACGGUAACAGGCCGCAAGGUGCUGACGAGUGGCGAACGGGUGAGUAAUGCAUCGGAACGUGCCCAGUCGUGGGGGAUAACUAUCCGAAAGGAUAGCUAAUACCGCAUACGAUCUGCGGAUGAAAGCGGGGGACCUUCGGGCCUCGCGCGUUUGGAGCGGCCGAUGUCAGAUUAGGUAGUUGGUGGGGUAAAGGCUCACCAAGCCAACGAUCUGUAGCUGGUCUGAGUGGACGACCAGCCACACUGGGACUGAGACACGGCCCAGACUCCUACGGGAGGCAGCAGUGGGGAAUUUUGGACAAUGGGCGCAAGCCUGAUCCAGCAAUGCCGCGUGCAGGAAGAAGGCCUUCGGGUUGUAAACUGCUUUUGUACGGAACGAAACGGCUCUGGUUAAUACCUGGGGCUAAUGACGGUACCGUAAGAAUAAGCACCGGCUAACUACGUGCCAGCAGCCGCCGUAA